UACGUAGGAUGCAAGCGUUGUCCGGAAUUAUUGGGCGUAAAGAGCGCGCAGGCGGUCUGCCAAGUCAGAUGUGAAAGAGGCCGGCUUAACCGGCAAGGGUCAUUUGAAACUGACAGACUAGAGUGCAGCAGAGGAUAGCGGAAUUCCCGGUGUAGUGGUGAAAUGCGUAGAGAUCGGGAGGAACACCUGUGGCGAAGGCGGCCCCCUGGGCCGGGCCUGACACUGAGACGCGAAGGCGUGGGGAGCGAACGGG
RNAcentral lists this ribosomal RNA (253 nucleotides) under uncultured bacterium. Its description in RNAcentral is "partial 16S ribosomal RNA". It matches the Rfam family "Bacterial small subunit ribosomal RNA", at positions 524 to 776 of the family's 1533-position model. The record is from RNAcentral.